UUUCGAAAGGAACGCUAAUACCGCAUACGUCCUACGGGAGAAAGCAGGGGACCUUCGGGCCUUGCGCUAUCAAAUGAGCCUAGGUCGGAUUAGCUAGUUGGUGAGGUAAUGGCUCACCAAGGCGACGAUCCGUAACUGGUCUGAAAGGAUGAUCAGUCACACUGGAACUGAGACACGGUCCAGACUCCUACGGGAGGCAGCAGUGGGGAAUAUUGGACAAUGGGCGAAAGCCUGAUCCAGCCAUGCCGCGUGUGUGAAGAAGGUCUUCGGAUUGUAAAGCACUUUAAGUUGGGAGGAAGGGCAUUAACCUAAUACGUUAGUGUUUUGACGUUACCGACAGAAUAAGCACCGGCUAACUCUGUGCCAGCAGCCGCGGUAAUACAGAGGGUGCAAGCGUUAAUCGGAAUUACUGGGCGUAAAGCGCGCGUAGGUGGUUCGUUAAGUUGGAUGUGAAAGCCCCGGGCUCAACCUGGGAACUGCAUUCAAAACUGACGAGCUAGAGUAUGGUAGAGGGUGGUGGAAUUUCCUGUGUAGCGGUGAAAUGCGUAUAUAUAGGAAGGAA
This 562-nucleotide ribosomal RNA is filed under the name Pseudomonas asplenii. RNAcentral's name for it is "bacterial SSU rRNA". It matches the Rfam family "Bacterial small subunit ribosomal RNA", at positions 149 to 706 of the family's 1533-position model. Lineage: Bacteria; Pseudomonadati; Pseudomonadota; Gammaproteobacteria; Pseudomonadales; Pseudomonadaceae. The record is from RNAcentral.